This 964-nucleotide long non-coding RNA is filed under the name Homo sapiens (human). RNAcentral describes it as "HSALNT0246587". The record is from RNAcentral. Lineage: Eukaryota; Metazoa; Chordata; Mammalia; Primates; Hominidae.
CUGGAAACGGCCCGGGUUUCCCACCCCCUGCCCAGGUUUGCUCCUUCCCUGGUUUUUCUGUCAUUAUCACGCUCACGUGUUUCCCUCGGUCACCCCCUCUGCAAUUUUCACACGUCUUUUCCCUCUCUCUUUGCUUCAUUACCUUUGGCCCGCCUGCCAGCUGCUGAUUCUCUCUGAAGAUGUCUCUAAAUGACUUUUAACUGUGAUUUGUGGAAUUCUUAUUGUGGAGUUUUGCGUCUUUUCAGGUGUAGGUUUUUUGUCUCGCGUGUUUCCACGUCUGCUUGUAGCGCUUUCCGCUUCGCCGUUCCCUGCGGCCCUUCCUUCCGUGCCCGGUGUUCAUCCUCUUGAAUGCUCUUUUCCUGCCUGUUUGGCUGGGUGUGUCUGAGUUGCAACCUGAGCGGGUUUCUUUGUCUUCUUACUUGUCUGGUAUUGUGUUCUCUCGGGACGUUGCGUUUGAGGGGUCGCACCUCAGAGCAAGCCGAGGUCUGGGCUAAGCCUGUGCUUUGGCAGGCAGGACCUUAGUUUGCCUUUUCUGGGCACCUGAGGAGAGGGUAGCAGCAGCCUGGGGUCUCCUUGACUCACGGUCAGCAGUGAGGGUUUCCUGGCCUGUUGGGUGGCUGGAGCUUGGCUGCAUUCCCCACUGAGAGAGGGAGGUGCGCACCUUCUCCUCCCUGGAGUGGCCUUCCAGGUGCCCUCUCAGAGCUGCUCAUCAGGGCUGUGCCUUUGUCAGCACCAAGCCUCAGCCCUUGUCCCUGCUGCCACUGAAGGCUCAAAACAACACUGCACAGCCUUGUGUGUCCUCUGUGUGUCGGCAGUUUCCCCCGGCUCUGCAGCAGCCCAGGCCAGGUAGCCUCUGGAGGGAGUGGUGGAGGAGCACGGGCAUCCUGGCCGCCGCUGUGUUGGGGACAGACCCUGGGGCCUGGAAAGGGAGGUGGGGCCCCGUGGGGGCUGCUGCACCACAGGC